This 200-nucleotide ribosomal RNA is filed under the name uncultured bacterium. Its description in RNAcentral is "partial 16S ribosomal RNA". It matches the Rfam family "Bacterial small subunit ribosomal RNA", at positions 28 to 229 of the family's 1533-position model. The record is from RNAcentral.
GAUGAACGCUAGCGGCAGGCUUAACACAUGCAAGUCGAGGGGUAUGGUUCUUCGGAGCCAGAGACCGGCGCACGGGUGCGUAACGCGUAUGCAAUCUACCGUUUUACAGAGGGAUAGCCCAGAGAAAUUUGGAUUAAUACCUCAUAGUAUAACAUGGACCGCAUGGUCGAGUUUAUUAAAGUCACAACGGUAAAGAUGAG